RNAcentral lists this ribosomal RNA (468 nucleotides) under uncultured bacterium. Its description in RNAcentral is "partial 16S ribosomal RNA". It matches the Rfam family "Bacterial small subunit ribosomal RNA", at positions 28 to 507 of the family's 1533-position model. The record is from RNAcentral.
GACGAACGCUGGCGGCGUGCUUAACACAUGCAAGUCGAACGGAAAGGCCCUGCUUUUGUGGGGUGCUCGAGUGGCGAACGGGUGAGUAACACGUGAGUCACCUGCCCUUGACUUUGGGAUAACUUCAGGAAACUGGGGCUAAUACCGGAUAGGAGCUCCUGCUGCAUGGUGGGGGUUUGAAAGUUUCGGCGGUUGGGGAUGGACUCGCGGCUUAUCAGCUUGUUGGUGGGGUAGUGGCUUACCAAGGCUUUGACGGGUAGCCGGCCUGAGAGGGUGACCGGCCACAUUGGGAAUGAGAUACGGCACAGACUCCUACGGGAGGCAGCAGUGGGGAAUAUUGAACAAUGGGCGGAAGCAUGAUGCAGCAACGCCGCGUGCGGGAUGACGGCCUUCGGGUUGUAAACCGCUUUCGCCUGUGACGAAGCGUGAGUGACGGUAAUGGGUAAAGAAGCACCGGCUAACUACGUG